Molecule: long non-coding RNA, 532 nt
Filed under: Anas platyrhynchos platyrhynchos (common mallard)
Lineage: Eukaryota; Metazoa; Chordata; Aves; Anseriformes; Anatidae
Description: lncRNA (ENSAPLG00000027686.1)
Source: RNAcentral
UGAGCAAGUAAUUUUUCCUGGGUGGACGGAAAUCUAAAGUCUGUUUUCUAACACUCUUACAGACACUUCUCUGUCCAUCGGCCUGUCCUGCCAACUCUGGUGUGAGUGUGAAGUUGUGGCAAGAGGGGUUUCCCGUUCCUAUUUGACCUGGUGGACACCAGCUUUCCUAGGAAAUUGCUGAUGUUGCUGAGGAGGCAGCAGUAUCAAAGCCCUCGAUUCUGAAAGCAGCAAAGCAAGCUAGAGGAAAACGUAUCCAAAACUCCGUAUCACAGCGGAUCUUCUCCUCUGAUCUGAAAAGCUUCACAGGCCAAAAGAGAAUUGAGAUGAAGAAGGAAAUAGAGAAUGCUGACCAGUAUUUCCAAUUACCACCCCAACUUCUGUCUUGGCUCUUCACAUCCAGCCAGAGCAGUUUCUUUGCCUCCGCAACCUGCAGGCUGUCCUCUCGUGUGUACCUGUGGUGGGCUGAGGGUAAUGCUUGUAACGCACACAGAUGCUGUAUUCACUAGCACUUUGAGAAAAGAGAGCAAGAAGC